RNAcentral lists this long non-coding RNA (476 nucleotides) under Polistes fuscatus (common paper wasp). RNAcentral describes it as "uncharacterized LOC122520645, transcript variant X1". The record is from RNAcentral. Lineage: Eukaryota; Metazoa; Arthropoda; Insecta; Hymenoptera; Vespidae.
GCGAGAAACGACCGCUUCGAAUUUUUUAUUGGACAAACGUCAUAUCGAAAUUAAACAUAUCCUUUUUAUUGUCCUCUCUUUUUUAACGAGUACAUUUGUUUCAUUUACAAUUAGUGCAUCGAAGAAUUAAGAAGACUUAUUUGUUUUUCUUGUUUUCUGACUCCUUCAAAUGGUGUCAAUGAAUACGAUGGUUCGUUCUUUUUUGUAUUCUGUUUAUCCGUCAUACGUAAAAGGUAUCACAUAGAAUGAUGAUAUUUGACAUAAGCUAUUGCAGCAAGUCCCUUACAAAAUUCUUCUGUGACUACAACGCUUUCCAGCAACGUAUUUUCCUUCUCCCUGUAAUAUCGUCAAAAUAUUGUUUUCGUCACAUGUUAAUAAGCCAGAUUCAGUGGUCUUUGGUAUCUCGUUAAUUAGCUGCUUGACUACUUUCUGGAGACAAGUAAAUAAACUUUUUGUGCCAGGCACUAAUGGUAAAA